This 445-nucleotide ribosomal RNA is filed under the name uncultured bacterium. RNAcentral's name for it is "bacterial SSU rRNA". It matches the Rfam family "Bacterial small subunit ribosomal RNA", at positions 330 to 792 of the family's 1533-position model. The record is from RNAcentral.
GCCAGACUCCUACGGGAGGCAGCAGUGGGGAAUAUUGCACAAUGGGGGAAACCCUGAUGCAGCGACGCCGCGUGAGUGAAGAAGUAUCUCGGUACGUAAAGCUCUCUCAGCAGGGAAGAAAAUGACGGUACCUGACUAAGAAGCCCCGGCUAACUACGUGCCAGCAGCCGCGGUAAUACGUAGGGGGCAAGCGUUAUCCGGAUUUACUGGGUGUAAAGGGAGCGUAGACGGUGCAGCAAGUCUGAUGUGAAAGGUCAGGGCCCAACCCCGGGACUGCAUUGGAAACUGUUGAACUGGAGUACAGGAGAGGUAAGCGGAAUUCCUAGUGUAGCGGUGAAAUGCGUAGAUAUUGGGAGGAACACCAGUGGCGAAGGCGGCUUACUGGACUGUAACUGACGUUGAGGCUCGAAAGCGUGGGGAGCAAACAGGAUUAGAUACCCCAGUA